Molecule: ribosomal RNA, 465 nt
Filed under: uncultured bacterium
Lineage: Bacteria
Description: partial 16S ribosomal RNA
Rfam family: Bacterial small subunit ribosomal RNA
Source: RNAcentral
GACGAACGCUGGCGGCGUGCUUAACACAUGCAAGUCGUACGGUAAGGCCCUUUCGGGGGUACACGAGUGGCGAACGGGUGAGUAACACGUGAGUAACCUGCCCACAACUUUGGGAUAACGCUAGGAAACUGGUGCUAAUACUGGAUAUGUGCUCCUUCUGCAUGGUGGGGGUUGGAAAGCUCCGGCGGUUAUGGAUGGACUCGCGGCCUAUCAGCUUGUUGGUGGGGUAGUGGCCUACCAAGGCGGCGACGGGUAGCCGGCCUGGGAGGGUGACCGGCCACAUUGGGACUGAGAUACGGCCCAGACUCCUACGGGAGGCAGCAGUGGGGAAGAUUGAACAAUGGGCGCAAGCCUGAUGCAGCAACGCCGCGGGCGGGAUGACGGCCUUCGGGUUGUAAACCGCUUUCAGCAGGGACGAAGCUUUUUGUGACGGUACCUGCAGAAGAAGCACCGGCUAACUACGUG